AAGUCGUAACAAGGUUUCCGUAGGUGAACCUGCGGUUGGAUCAUUAAAAAAAUUUUAAUUAAAGGAUUCCCCCUUCGUUGUGUUAGUGAGCCCCCCCCUUUUAAACAAGGGGGGCGGGUCGUUAAAUUUCACGGGGGGUCGUUCUUUAAACCCAACUUUGUGAAUUUGUUUUUAAAAAAGAUUUGGGUAUGGUGUUUUCGUUUUUAACGAGAGCCGCAAGUGCUUAGCCAGCCUGCCCUUAUCACAACCAUAAAAAUUUUGAACCUUAGCAGUAUUCUUAGUCUUUAAUUUAAAUUUAUUUUUUUAUAAUGAAAAAACAACUUUUGACAACGGAUCUCUAGGCUCUC
This 347-nucleotide unclassified non-coding RNA is filed under the name fungal sp. RNAcentral's name for it is "partial internal transcribed spacer region". The stretch from base 1 to 46 matches the Rfam family "Eukaryotic small subunit ribosomal RNA", at positions 1786 to 1831 of the family's 1831-position model. Lineage: Eukaryota; Fungi. The record is from RNAcentral.